CUCACUGCCUCGGUGCUAGUUGUCCGCCAGUCCAUCCAUACACUUCACCCAUGUUGUCUUCAUCCUUUCCCAUUCGUUCUUAUCCAGCCAGCUCGAUCAGAUACUUAACCGAAUCCCCUUGUUACUUAGGCACUCAGCCAACCAUCCCCACAUGACCAUGAACAAAGAGAGACGGCUUGGUUUCCAACCAGCCAUCCAGAAUAGACAGUACGCCAGCCUUGCUAGCGUUCCAGAACCAGUCAUUGAUCAUACCUAGACCAGUCAGUACAUAUUCGGCUCUACAGCCCUCGAUCCCUUCAGUACACCUCACGGCCAUCCUGCCCUGGCUAUGUCUCCAACCCGCCUUCCAGUACCGACAGUACGCCAGCCUUGCUAGCGUUCAAGAACCACAUUGAUCACACCUAGAUCAAUCAGUACAAACUCGGCUCUGCAGCCCACGAUCCAACCAGUACUAGCAUGCAUCCAGAUCCCUGUAAACACACCCGGCUUCACAGCCACCUUCCUGCCUCUCCAGCAUACGACCAGAUCAAAUCUUCUCAAGCUACAACCAACACUCAGUCCGUGAUGAAUAGAAGACGCCUCGCUACCAGCCGUUCCAUCAAGACACGGCCAUUACCAUCGUCGGAACAGAACUAAGACUCGAUCUGAAGUCUCAACCGUCAGAAUUGCAUUCCAGCACCAAACAUCCGAUAACCGCCUCAGGUAACUCUUGCCGUCUGAUCUGUAUCAUCAGUACGGACGCCUCCCAUCAGAAACCAUCAAAGCGUGUACAGAACCAGCCGAGCCAGCCUCCACAGAACUCGCCAUCCAUCAGGGAAGAUCCACAUCAUCAAGC
This 835-nucleotide long non-coding RNA is filed under the name Brassica napus (rape). RNAcentral describes it as "long non-coding RNA (BNAP_LNC010105)". The record is from RNAcentral. Lineage: Eukaryota; Viridiplantae; Streptophyta; Magnoliopsida; Brassicales; Brassicaceae.